Molecule: ribosomal RNA, 473 nt
Filed under: uncultured bacterium
Lineage: Bacteria
Description: bacterial SSU rRNA
Rfam family: Bacterial small subunit ribosomal RNA
Source: RNAcentral
AGGACGAACGCUGGCGGCGUGCCUAACACAUGCAAGUCGAGCGAUGAAAUCCUUCGGGAUGGAUUAGCGGCGGACGGGUGAGUAACACGUGGGUAACCUGCCUUGUAGAGGGGGAUAGCCUUCCGAAAGGAGGAUUAAUACCGCAUAACAUCUUUUUAUCGCAUGGUAGAAGGAUCAAAGGAGCAAUCCGCUACAAGAUGGACCCGCGGCGCAUUAGCUAGUUGGUGAGGUAACGGCUCACCAAGGCGACGAUGCGUAGCCGACCUGAGAGGGUGAUCGGCCACAUUGGAACUGAGACACGGUCCAGACUCCUACGGGAGGCAGCAGUGGGGAAUAUUGCGCAAUGGGGGAAACCCUGACGCAGCAACGCCGCGUGAAUGAAGAAGGCCUUAGGGUUGUAAAGUUCUGUUUACGGGGACGAUAAUGACGGUACCCGUGGAGGAAGCCACGGCUAACUACGUGCCAGCAGCUGC